CAGUAGCCGCGGGAAUACGGAGGGUGCAAGCGUUAAUCGGAAUUACUGGGCGUAAAGCGCACGCAGGCGGUCUGACAAGUCAGAUGUGAAAUCCCCGGGCUUAACCUGGGAACUGCAUUUGAAACUGUCAGGCUGGAGUCUUGUAGAGGGGGGUAGAAUUCCAGGUGUAGCGGUGAAAUGCGUAGAGAUCUGGAGGAAUACCGGUGGCGAAGGCGGCCCCCUGGACAAAGACUGACGCUCAGGUGCGAAAGCGUGGGGAGCAAACAGGAUUAGAUACCCCGGUAGUCCCUGUCUCUUAUAC
This 301-nucleotide ribosomal RNA is filed under the name uncultured bacterium. RNAcentral's name for it is "partial 16S ribosomal RNA". It matches the Rfam family "Bacterial small subunit ribosomal RNA", at positions 509 to 807 of the family's 1533-position model. The record is from RNAcentral.